This 137-nucleotide ribosomal RNA is filed under the name Urocitellus parryii (Arctic ground squirrel). Lineage: Eukaryota; Metazoa; Chordata; Mammalia; Rodentia; Sciuridae. The record is from RNAcentral.
GUUUAUGGCCAUACCAUCCUGAGUGCUCCUGAUCUCCUCCGAUCUCAUAAAGUAAGUGGGGUUCAAGCACGAUUAGUACUGGGAUGGGAGAUAAUUCAUUUCAACUAUUAUUUGACUAGAAAUGUAGUAUGUAAGUU